GCCCCCGUAGCAUGAAGGUCGUGCAGUUGCCUUGUAAGCAUCAGGACCUGGUUCGAUUCCGGGCGGGGGCACCA
This 74-nucleotide transfer RNA is filed under the name Rhodocyclales bacterium. RNAcentral's name for it is "tRNA-Thr". It matches the Rfam family "tRNA". Rfam says of the family: Transfer RNA (tRNA) molecules are approximately 80 nucleotides in length. The record is from RNAcentral. RNAcentral also lists the same sequence under 1 other name. Lineage: Bacteria; Pseudomonadati; Pseudomonadota; Betaproteobacteria; Rhodocyclales.